This 500-nucleotide ribosomal RNA is filed under the name Lavigeria sp. UGSB 17757. Its description in RNAcentral is "partial large subunit ribosomal RNA". It matches the Rfam family "Bacterial large subunit ribosomal RNA", at positions 1817 to 2597 of the family's 2925-position model. Lineage: Eukaryota; Metazoa; Mollusca; Gastropoda; Thiaridae. The record is from RNAcentral.
GGUUCCCCGANCAAAAAAAANGAGGANUCAGNCCUGCCCAGUNAAAUUUUAACGGCCGCGGUACUCUGACCGUGCAAAGGUAGCAUAAUCAUUUGCCUUAUAAUUGAAGGCUAGUAUGAAUGGUUUAACGUGAGCGACGCUGUCUACUUUUAUAUUUUCUAUAAAUUAACCUUUAGGUGAAGAGGCCUAAAUUUAAUUAAAGGACAAGAAGACCCUGUCGAGCUUAAAAGCUUAGAAAGGAAUCAUUAUUAACAAAAUUUAUUUCUUUUAUAACUUUUUAGUUGGGGCGACUAAGGAACAAAUAAAGCUUCUUCCAUCAAAAUAGCCAAUAAGCCAAGACCCAGUUUACUGAGCAAGAAAAUUAGUUACCGCAGGGAUAACAGCAUAAUCUCUCUUGAGAGACCAAAUCGAAAGGGGGGGUUGUGACCUCGAUGUUGGACUAGAAUAUCCUAAANAUGCNNACNUCUUUGAGGGUUGGUCUGUUCGACCAUGAAAAUUCU